RNAcentral lists this transfer RNA (69 nucleotides) under Ictidomys tridecemlineatus (thirteen-lined ground squirrel). RNAcentral describes it as "Spermophilus tridecemlineatus (thirteen-lined ground squirrel) tRNA". It matches the Rfam family "tRNA". Rfam says of the family: Transfer RNA (tRNA) molecules are approximately 80 nucleotides in length. The record is from Rfam by way of RNAcentral. Lineage: Eukaryota; Metazoa; Chordata; Mammalia; Rodentia; Sciuridae.
GGGGCUGUAGCUCAGCAGCAGAGCAUGUGCCUAGCAUGCAUGAGGCCCUGGGUUCAAUCCUCAGCACCA